GCCCCUGUAGCUCAACGGGAAGAGUGCUGAUCUGCUAAAUCAAAGGUUGCGGGUUCAAAUCCCGUCAGGGGCA
This 73-nucleotide transfer RNA is filed under the name Anaerolineaceae bacterium. RNAcentral describes it as "tRNA-Ser". It matches the Rfam family "tRNA". From Rfam's summary of the family: Transfer RNA (tRNA) molecules are approximately 80 nucleotides in length. Lineage: Bacteria; Bacillati; Chloroflexota; Anaerolineae; Anaerolineales; Anaerolineaceae. The record is from RNAcentral.